AAAGAAAAUAUGUAACUAUAUAACAGUCGGCUGUAACCUGUAACACAAGCAUUAAGUUGCUCACCAUAGGAACAGGCGACCGUG
Long non-coding RNA from Melitaea cinxia (Glanville fritillary), 84 nucleotides. RefSeq lists it as uncharacterized. The transcript is spliced from 3 exons. The record is from RefSeq and is a predicted model, not a curated record. NCBI's taxonomy places the organism in Eukaryota, Metazoa, Arthropoda, Insecta, Lepidoptera, Nymphalidae.